AGCUUGACCAUGGCUCAGAUUGAACGCUGGCGGAUGCUUUACACAUGCAAAGCCGAACGGCAGCACGGACUUCGGUCCGGUGGCGAGUGGCGAACUGCGAGUAAUGUAUCGGAACGCCUAGUAGCGGGGAUAACUACGCGAAAGCGUAGCUAAUACCGCAUAAUAGCCCUUCUUGGGAAAGCGGGGACCUUCGGGCCUCGCACCAUUAGAGCGGCUGAUAUCGGAUUAGCUAGUUGGUGGGUAACGGCUCACCAAGGCGACGAUCCGUAGCUGGUUUGAGGACGACCAGCCACACUGGGACUGAGACACGGCCCAGACUCCUACGGGAGGCAGCAGUGGGGAAUUUUGACAAUGGGGAAACCCUGAUCCAGUCAUCCCGCAUGCGUAUGCGAUGAAGGCCUGGCUAAAAAGCACUUUGGCAGGAAGAAACGGCACGGGAUAAUACCCGUGCAACUGACGGUACCUGCAGAAUAAGCACCGGCUAACUACGCCAGCAGCCGCGGUAAUACGUAGGGUGUUAAUCGGAAUUACUGGCGGCAAGGGUGCAGGCGGUUCGGAAAGAAAGAUGUAACCCAGAGCUUAACUUGUUUUGGAACUGCAUUUUUAACUACCGAGCUAGAGUGUGUCAGAGGGAGGUGGAAUUCCGCGUAGCAGUGAAAUGCGUAGAUAUGCGGAGGAACACCGAUGGCGAAGGCAGCCUCUGGGAUACCGACGUCAUGCACGAAAGCGGGGAGCAAACAGGAUUAGAUGACUUGCAGUCCACGCCCUAAACGAUGUCAAUUAGCCGUUGGGGCCUUCGCCUGGUAGCGCAGCUAACGCGCGAAGUUGACCGCCCGGGGAGUACGGUCGCAAGAUUAAAACUCAAAGGAAUUGACGGGGACUCGCACAAGCGGUGGAUGAUGUGGAUUAAUUCGAUGCAACGCGAAAACCUUUACCUACCCUUGAUAUGUCUGGAAUCCUGAAGAGAUUUGGGGGUGCUCGCAAGAGAACCGGAACACAGGUGCUGCAUGGCUGUCGUCAGCUCGUGUCGUGAGAUGUUGUGUUAAGUCCUGCAACGAGCGCAACCCUUGUCAUUAGUUGCUACGAAAGGGCACUCUAUCGAGACUGCUGGUGACAAACCGGAGGAAGGUGGGGAUGACGUCAAGUCCUCAUGGCCCUUAUGGGUAGGCUUCACACGUCAUACAAUGGUCGGGACAGAGGGCUCAACCCGAAGAGGGGGAGCCAAUCCCAGAAACCUCGAUCGUAGUCCGAUCGCAGUUCGCAACUCGACUGCGGAAGUCGGAAACGCUAGUAAUCGCGGAUCAGCAUGUCGGUGAAUACGUUCCUGGUCUUGUACACACCGCCCGUCACACCAUGGGAGUGGGUUUACCAGAAGUAGUUAGCCUGUCCGUAAGGAGGGUGAUUACCAUGUAGGAUUCAUGAUCGGGGUGAAGUCGUAACAAGGUAG
Molecule: ribosomal RNA, 1447 nt
Filed under: uncultured Bordetella sp.
Lineage: Bacteria; Pseudomonadati; Pseudomonadota; Betaproteobacteria; Burkholderiales; Alcaligenaceae
Description: partial 16S-23S ribosomal RNA intergenic spacer
Rfam family: Bacterial small subunit ribosomal RNA
Source: RNAcentral